UGGGGAAUAUUGGACAAUGGGGGCAACCCUGAUCCAGCCAUGCCGCGUGAGUGAUGAAGGCCCUAGGGUUGUAAAGCUCUUUUGUGCGGGAAGAUAAUGACGGUACCGCAAGAAUAAGCCCCGGCUAACUUCGUGCCAGCAGCCGCGGUAAUACGAAGGGGGCUAGCGUUGCUCGGAAUCACUGGGCGUAAAGGGUGCGUAGGCGGGUUUCUAAGUCAGAGGUGAAAGCCUGGAGCUCAACUCCAGAACUGCCUUUGAUACUGGAAGUCUUGAGUAUGGCAGAGGUGAGUGGAACUGCGAGUGUAGAGGUGAAAUUCGUAGAUAUUCGCAAGAACACCAGUGGCGAAGGCGGCUCACUGGGCCAUUACUGACGCUGAGGCACGAAACGCGUGGGAGCAAACAGGAUUAGAUACCCUGGUAGUCCACGCCGUAAACGAUGAAUGCCAGCCGUUAGUGGGUUUACUCACUAGUGGCGCAGCUAACGCUUUAAGCAUUCCGCCUGGGGAGUACGGUCGCAAGAUUAAAAGCUC
Molecule: ribosomal RNA, 530 nt
Filed under: uncultured bacterium
Lineage: Bacteria
Description: partial 16S ribosomal RNA
Rfam family: Bacterial small subunit ribosomal RNA
Source: RNAcentral